AUCAUUACACAAAUAUGAAGGCGGGCUGGAUCUCUCGGGGUUACAGCCUUGCUGAAUUAUUCACCCUUGUCUUUUGCGUACUUCUUGUUUCCUUGGUGGGUUCGCCCACCACUAGGACAAACAUAAACCUUUUGUAAUUGCAAUCAGCGUCAGUAACAAAUUAAUAAUUACAACUUUCAACAACGGAUCUCUUGGUUCUGGCAUCGAUGAAGAACGCAGCGAAAUGCGAUAAGUAGUGUGAAUUGCAGAAUUCAGUGAAUCAUCGAAUCUUUGAACGCACAUUGCGCCCUUUGGUAUUCCAAAGGGCAUGCCUGUUCGAGCGUCAUUUGUACCCUCAAGCUUUGCUUGGUGUUGGGCGUCUUGUCUCUAGCUUUGCUGGAGACUCGCCUUAAAGUAAUUGGCAGCCGGCCUACUGGUUUCGGAGCGCAGCACAAGUCGCACUCUCUAUCAGCAAAGGUCUAGCAUCCAUUAAGCCUUUUUUCAACUUUUGACCUCGGAUCAGGUAGGGAUACC
This 513-nucleotide ribosomal RNA is filed under the name Alternaria alternata. Its description in RNAcentral is "eukaryotic LSU rRNA". The stretch from base 172 to 325 matches the Rfam family "5.8S ribosomal RNA". Lineage: Eukaryota; Fungi; Ascomycota; Dothideomycetes; Pleosporales; Pleosporaceae. The record is from RNAcentral.